Long non-coding RNA from Equus caballus (horse), 1604 nucleotides. Lineage: Eukaryota; Metazoa; Chordata; Mammalia; Perissodactyla; Equidae. The record is from Ensembl.
GGGGGAUUGAAGGUAUUUGGGAGGUGGGAUCAAUAACACUUGGGGAUCGACUGAUUGUGGCAGAGAACAUAGUAAAUGGAGUGACUGAUGGUGCCAUUGCUAGAAGGGGAGCAGUGGAGGAGAAUGCUUAGGGAUGAAGAUGGCAAGUUCAGUUUCCAACAGAGGGAGUUGGAGCUGCCUGUGGGACAUCCAAGUGAGAGCGUCCAGAAGACAGGAGGAUGCCCAGCUCUGGACUCAGGGGAAGGGUCCAUGCCGGAGCCCGAGAUUUGAAGGCUGUAGGAGUGGAAGAGAUGGUGCAAGGAAUGUGUGAACUGUGAGCUGAGAACAGAAGCCAGAGCAGGACCCAGGGCAGGACCCAAGGCACCUAUUAUGCACCUGGCUGAGUGCGAGGCGCUGGGGACCCAGCAGGAGUCAGACGUGGUCUUUGUCCUUGUGAAACUCGCCGUCCAGUCAGUGAGAGAGCCGCAUGGAUAGACCAUCUCAAUAUCAUAUGUGCCACCCUCUGAAGUGCCUGUGGCCUUUAUUUCAGACGGCUUUCUCUCCUUUUACAUCGCUGUGAAACUGCAGCCAGUCAAAGGUAAAAUUCACUUUCACCUAGCGUCUGCCCUUAUCAAGCCCACUGAUUCUUCAUGCCCAAUGCAGUGACAUUGAACCAAAUGUCCUCUCCGCGGAAAUAUUUGAGCAUGGAAUACUUAGGAUUUUACUUUCUGGCAACAGCAGGUUUUCAGACUUGUGGACAUUAGUUUACAGCUCUUCAAAAAUGUCCAUCUAUGUUGUACCUACCAGCUUGUUUUGGUAGACCAGCUGUUUAUCAGUCGGGUCCUUUGCAUCUAUACAUUCAUCACAUAGACUAUCCAUGUCUAAAACGUUCAUCAGUUUUAAAUACUCGGAUGUCAUCAGAAGUUUGACGUUCUCAGAGAAACGGUUUUCAAGCACAGAGGUGAUUUGAACGUGUGAAAUUGAAGUUGGAUUCUGUGAUGGUUAAUUUUAUGUAUCAGCUGGAUUGUGUCAUGAGGUGCCCAGAUAUUCAGUUAAACAUUAUUCUGGAUGUGUCUGUGAGGCUGUUUCUGAAGGAGAUUAACAUCUGGAUCUGUAGACUGAGCAAAGCCAUCGCCCUCCCCAGUGUGGGGGGGCCUCAUCCAAUCCUUUGGAGGCCUGAAUAUCAGACUGGAACUAUACCAUCAGCUCUCUUGGGUCUCCAGCUUGCUGGCUACAGAUAUUGGGAUUUUUCAACCUCCGUAACCACGUUCCUUAUGGCCUCUCCAAAGAUCAUCAAACAGUUUCGGAGAAAUAACAUCAGGUCAGCGUUCUUACAUCUCUGCCAUGGACAGCAACACUGAUAGCCGUCUUGUAGGCACCUGUCUAAGGAGGAUCUCCUUCCAUUUCUGUCAAGUCCAUAAUCUCAUUAAGUGCUUCUGCACACUUUGAGGAAACUGAAAGUGACUAAAAACAUUCAUUACAAAAGCCUCAGUACCACUGAUAAGUAAGUCGUACUCUUUUCAGCAGCAGUGUGCACAGGAUGUGCAGGCCAUUUAGCAGGUAAGAUCUUUUCUUUUCUGUCUUUCCUUCUUUCUUUCUUUUUUUUUUUUUUGAGGAAGAUUAGC